Molecule: transfer RNA, 75 nt
Filed under: Culex quinquefasciatus (southern house mosquito)
Lineage: Eukaryota; Metazoa; Arthropoda; Insecta; Diptera; Culicidae
Rfam family: tRNA
About the family: Transfer RNA (tRNA) molecules are approximately 80 nucleotides in length. Their secondary structure includes four short double-helical elements and three loops (D, anti-codon, and T loops). Further hydrogen bonds mediate the characteristic L-shaped molecular structure. tRNAs have two regions of fundamental functional importance: the anti-codon, which is responsible for specific mRNA codon recognition, and the 3' end, to which the tRNAs corresponding amino acid is attached (by aminoacyl-tRNA synthetases). tRNAs cope with the degeneracy of the genetic code in two manners: having more than one tRNA (with a specific anti-codon) for a particular amino acid; and 'wobble' base-pairing, i.e. permitting non-standard base-pairing at the 3rd anti-codon position.
Source: Rfam by way of RNAcentral
GCCCGUGUGGAUCAAAUAGGAUCGCGCCCUGGACUCACAAUCCAGAGGUUGCUGGUUCGAAUCCCGCGGCGGGCG